This 352-nucleotide ribosomal RNA is filed under the name uncultured bacterium. Its description in RNAcentral is "bacterial SSU rRNA". It matches the Rfam family "Bacterial small subunit ribosomal RNA", at positions 350 to 694 of the family's 1533-position model. The record is from RNAcentral.
AGCAGUAGGGAAUCUUCGGCAAUGGGGGCAACCCUGACCGAGCAACGCCGCGUGAGUGAAGAAGGUUUUCGGAUCGUAAAGCUCUGUUGUAAGAGAAGAACGUGUGUGAGAGUGGAAAGUUCACACAGUGACGGUAACUUACCAGAAAGGGACGGCUAACUACGUGCCAGCAGCCGCGGUAAUACGUAGGUCCCGAGCGUUGUCCGGAUUUAUUGGGCGUAAAGCGAGCGCAGGCGGUUUAAUAAGUCUGAAGUUAAAGGCAGUGGCUUAACCAUUGUUCGCUUUGGAAACUGUUAGACUUGAGUGCAGAAGGGGAGAGUGGAAUUCCAUGUGUAGCGGUGAAAUGCGUAGA